Populus euphratica (Euphrates poplar) is the source of this 1032-nucleotide RNA transcript. It is a transcript of the gene named probable peptide/nitrate transporter At3g43790, with no coding region annotated. NCBI's taxonomy places the organism in Eukaryota, Viridiplantae, Streptophyta, Magnoliopsida, Malpighiales, Salicaceae. The record is from RefSeq and is a predicted model, not a curated record. The transcript is spliced from 6 exons.
UUUAUAUAAUAUUUUCUUGCUGUUUGUGAAGGUCUUGACCAUUCCCUUGCUAUCUAGUUACCCUUUUCUAGCUAUGCUGAAUGGCCUUGCCCUCAUGCUGCUGAUUAACUGCGCUUCCAUCCUGAAGAACGUACUCGCUGUAUCAAUCACAACAGGAUUGUUCCUUCUGCAAAAUAGAUCAGUGACACAACAACAAAGAGGUGCUGCAAAUGGAAUUUCGAUGUCUGCCAUGUCCCUUUUCAAAGCAAUUGGUCCAGCUGCUGGGGGUUCUCUCUUCUCUUGGGCACAAAAGCGUCAGGAUGCCUUCUUUUUUCCAGGUGAUCAAAUGAUCUUCUUCCUCCUUAACAUGAUCGAGGUCAUCGGACUGCUCUUGACCUUCAAACCAUUUCUAGCCCUUCCUGAUGACAACAUUUCCUAGUUCAAUUUCAAAGGUUCACAUCAACCAACAGAGGCUAAAAAACCAUGAAGAUUGAUUCCAGAUUCUUUCCCAUAGCUAGCCAAAUUCUUCAACUUCAGCCGACCCUCAAGUGUAUCACCUUAUGUAGGAUUUUUGUACCGUUCCCACCUGUAAUUAACCUGAAAACCACAGAAGAGGUGCCUUUAUGCAUAUUUUCUUCUGGCAUGAUAUAUGACAUCUGCUCUAGUUUCUUCUCUCAUUUUCAUACUUUGGUGGGCUUGUAAGAGAUCUACUUCUAGUCUCACAUGAUUAUUUGAUUAAAAAAAAUAUAUCAUCCCGCUGGUUACAUAAGCCAGGACAAUGAACUGGCCUCAAGAGAAACACCUGCUGGACAUCCUGUCCCAUUCAUAAUUACAAAAUGGAUUGAAGAUCCGCGUCACAUCUCACAAGGGCAGCUUGAACAAGAUGUAAUGUCUAGUGUGAUAUAGUCCUGCAACUUCUUGUAGAUUUUGAUUUAGUCCAGGCAGUAAAGUAUUUACAAAAUCAUCCCCAAAGUUUUUAAUUGAAGGAACAUUAGAUGUUAGCUCUGUUAAGUCUCGGGAUGCAGUUUUAAAUGGAUCGCACUCAUUUCAUUU